CUACGGGGUGCAGCAGUGGGGAAUAUUGGGCAAUGGGCGCAAGCCUGACCCAGCGACGCCGCGUGAGGGAAGAAGGUUUUCGGAUUGUAAACCUCUGUCCCCCCUGACGAAACAAAUGACGGUAAGGGGGGAGGAAGCUCCGGCUAACUACGUGCCAGCAGCCGCGGUAAUACGUAGGGAGCGAGCGUUGUCCGGAAUUACUGGGCGUAAAGGGUGCGUAGGCGGCAUAUUAAGUCAGGUGUGAAAUUUUCGGGCUCAACCCGGAACCUGCAUUUGAAACUGAUAAGCUUGAGUGUGAGAGAGGUAAGUGGAAUUCCUAGUGUAGCGGUGAAAUGCGUAGAUAUUAGGAGGAACACCAGUGGCGAAGGCGACUUACUGGCUCAUAACUGACGCUGAGGCACGAAAGCGUGGGGAGCAAACAGGAUUAGAUACCCGAGUAGUC
RNAcentral lists this ribosomal RNA (442 nucleotides) under uncultured bacterium. RNAcentral describes it as "partial 16S ribosomal RNA". It matches the Rfam family "Bacterial small subunit ribosomal RNA", at positions 339 to 795 of the family's 1533-position model. The record is from RNAcentral.